Molecule: long non-coding RNA, 421 nt
Organism: Vespa crabro (European hornet)
Lineage: Eukaryota; Metazoa; Arthropoda; Insecta; Hymenoptera; Vespidae
Exons: 3
Source: RefSeq, a predicted model, not a curated record
CUCGAUCGCGACUGAAUUGCACAAUCGAGUCUUCGUCGACAUUGAUCCUCGCUCGUUUUCUACCAAAGAAAACGAAAAGUCACAAUGAUGACGAUGAUAAUAAAGACUAUCUUUUACUUGCAACUAUCGUUGGUUGAUGAACCUGGUGAUGUAUAUCCUGCGACAACUGACAUUCUUUUUAAUGCAGAUGAGAAAUGAUGUCUUUGUAAAAUCUUUAGUACAGUGAGGCUCCAAUUUACAGCUUUCAGUGUAGCUUUCUCAAGUGGAUCUCCGACUAUUCCAUCGUCCAACUGAACAAGAGAAUGGCAUGUUGCAAGUACUUGCACACUUUCUAAACGUGCAUCUGAGAUUGGCAUCACAUCUGUUUUACCACUAAAAUACGUAAAGUAUAAGAAUCAAUAAAUUUACUUUUUAAUUUUUA